RNAcentral lists this ribosomal RNA (348 nucleotides) under uncultured prokaryote. RNAcentral describes it as "bacterial SSU rRNA". It matches the Rfam family "Bacterial small subunit ribosomal RNA", at positions 8 to 352 of the family's 1533-position model. The record is from RNAcentral.
AGAGUUUGAUCCUGGCUCAGGACGAACGCUGGCGGCGUGCUUAAGACAUGCAAGUCGAACGGAUCUGGUCCUUCGGACCGACGGUUAGUGGCGGACGGGUGGAGUAACACGUGAGCAACCUGCCCUCAUGCCCGGGACGUAACACCGCGAAAGUGGUGCUAAUACCGGAUACGCUCCUCUGGUCGCAUGGCCGGAGGAGGGAAGGGGAAACCCGCAGGAGGAGGGGCGUCGCGGCCCAUUAGCUAGUUGGUGUGGUAAUGGCGCACCAAGGCGACGAUGGUAGCCGGCCUGAGAGGUGAACGGCCACACUGGGACUGAGAUACGGCCCAGACUCCUACGGGAGGCGAC